RNAcentral lists this long non-coding RNA (1224 nucleotides) under Mustela putorius furo (domestic ferret). RNAcentral's name for it is "lncRNA (ENSMPUG00000024897.1)". The record is from RNAcentral. Lineage: Eukaryota; Metazoa; Chordata; Mammalia; Carnivora; Mustelidae.
AUGGAAACGAGGAGUUGAGAGUUAGGAGAGCAGCAUCCCACCGAGGGGACAAAUGCAAAGCCAUUAUAGGAAAGGGCGAUAGAAGAUGUACUCACAGGUACCUUUGUGAACAGACAAGAAGGGAAGGCAAUAAAACAACCCCAAGGACGGGACUGCAUGAGAAAUAAGGGGCUGCUGUAGAGUCACCACAUUGAAAAUGAUGGAGCUGCAGAAGGAGCAGAGACUGUCCUUUGCUGGAACUGGAUCCAGGUACUCACUGUCGUGGGGACACAUCUCCACCAGCCCUGCGGAAUUUGUAGCCUCUGAGCUGCCAAUUUAGAACCCACUCAGAGCUAUGGGACUUCGUGAUCUGGAGAGUAUAAUUCUAAAACAACAGAAGGGGAAAUGCAUUCUCAAGGUUAUCUUCAAGUACAGAACUUCCUCCUCAAUAUCUGUGUAGAAAAUAACUCAGUCAUAUGGCAUAUAGAGAACUAACAAUUUGGAACUUCGAAAGAAGCACAAGAAUUCAGUUCAGAAAGGAAGGUGAAAACUCAAAGUAUCAGAGAAAACUUGAAAUAAGUAUAUUUAUAAUUCAUAAACAUGCAAUGGAAGGAAUAGUGUCUAAAAUGGGACAGCAUCUAUGAAAUAAAAUCAGAAUAAUUGGAUAGAAAACCUAAGCAAUAAUAAGCGCAAGAAAAAUGAAACAAAACAAGGAAUCAUAACUCUGAAACUUCAUUUUUAUUCACUAAUCUUGCCAUGUGUAAUAAACACAAGUUCUUUGCACCUGUUGACUAUAACAUUGUUUUAUUGCUGUGUUAAGCUCACGGCAGGUGAUACGGGGAGAUCUGGAAGUGAAUUCCGGUUCUUCACUUGCAUGCCAUAUCUAGUUGUGGAAGAUAUUGGAAGGAGCUGGACCCUGAACAUGGAGAGCCUAGUAUGCCUCUCUGCCUGCUUUCUGCUCGUUGUAUGGAAUAUGGCAAGUUGCUUAAACGUUUUGGGAAUUAGUUUUCCCAUCCACGCGAUCCAUAGUGGAGCUACACGGGCGAGGAAGAUAAAGUAUAAUAUACGAACGACAGUGACCAGGAUAUUGAGAAGAGAGCAAAAGCGUAAUGUUCAUGCUCGAAGAGGUCUGUGUUACACACUGUACACGGUGGAGGAAAUAAAAGAAUGGCUUCACGCCAGCAUCAGACAUGUUCACUGAAUGCUUUUCAGCGACAAAAGUAACAGCUAAUGGAACCCUAAGAG